RNAcentral lists this ribosomal RNA (434 nucleotides) under uncultured Clostridium sp. Its description in RNAcentral is "partial 16S ribosomal RNA". It matches the Rfam family "Bacterial small subunit ribosomal RNA", at positions 341 to 792 of the family's 1533-position model. Lineage: Bacteria; Bacillati; Bacillota; Clostridia; Eubacteriales; Clostridiaceae. The record is from RNAcentral.
ACGGGAGGCAGCAGUGGGGAAUAUUGGACAAUGGGGGAAACCCUGAUCCAGCGGCGCCGCGUGAGUGAAGAAGUAUUUCGGUAUGCAAAGCUCUAUCAGCAGGGAAGAUAAUGACGGUACCUGACUAAGAAGCCCCGGCUAACUACGUGCCAGCAGCCGCGGUAAUACGUAGGGGGCAAGCGUUAUCCGGAUUUACUGGGUGUAAAGGGAGCGUAGACGGAAGGCCAAGUCUGAUGUGAAAACCCAGGGCUCAACCCUGGGACUGCAUUGGAAACUGGUCAUCUAGAGUGCAGGAGGGGUAAGCGGAAUUCCUAGUGUAGCGGUGAAAUGCGUAGAUAUUAGGAGGAACACCAGUGGCGAAGGCGGCUUACUGGACUGUAACUGACGUUGAGGCUCGAAAGCGUGGGGAGCAAACAGGAUUAGAUACCCUGGUA